ACUUUUGAGUUAAGAGCCUAACUUAUUUCCUACUCACUAUUUCUCCUGUAGCUCUUCAGGCAAGCUGAAUUGAACUCAUGUUGCUUUUUCCCUUUUUGUUUCAGCUCAGUUUGCAGGGGAAGACCCAGUGGUAGCUUUGGAAGCUGCUUUGCAGUUUGAAGACACCCGGGAAUCCAUGCACGCAUUUUGUGUUGGCCAGUAUUUGGAGCCUGACCAAGAAGGCGUCACCAUACCAGAUCUGGGGAGUCUCUCCUCACCUCUGAUAGACACAGAGAGGAAUCUGGGCCUGCUUCUCGGAUUACACGCUUCCUAUUUAGCAAUGAGCACACCGCUGUCUCCUGUCGAGAUUGAAUGUGCCAAAUGGCUUCAGUCAUCCAUCUUCUCUGGAGGCCUGCAGACCAGCCAGAUCCACUACAGCUACAACGAGGAGAAAGACGAGGACCACUGCAGCUCCCCAGGGGGCACACCUGCCAGCAAAUCUCGACUCUGCUCCCACAGACGGGCCCUGGGGGACCAUUCCCAGGCAUUUCUGCAAGCCAUUGCAGACAACAACAUUCAGGAUCACAACGUGAAGG
This is a long non-coding RNA of Homo sapiens (human), 575 nucleotides long. Ensembl annotates it as HERC2 pseudogene 3. Its record names the gene HERC2P3. The record is from Ensembl. Lineage: Eukaryota; Metazoa; Chordata; Mammalia; Primates; Hominidae.